GGCGGGCCCCCUCGCAUCGCGGUGCUGUGAACCUGGUCAGGUCGGGAACGAAGCAGCCAUAGCAGAUUUCCGCGAGUGCCGAGGAUCAGGCUCGCCUUC
This 99-nucleotide signal recognition particle RNA is filed under the name Burkholderiales bacterium GJ-E10. Its description in RNAcentral is "Bacterial small signal recognition particle RNA". It matches the Rfam family "Bacterial small signal recognition particle RNA". From Rfam's summary of the family: The signal recognition particle (SRP) is a universally conserved ribonucleoprotein involved in the co-translational targeting of proteins to membranes. Archaeal SRP consists of a 7S RNA and homologues of the eukaryotic SRP19 and SRP54 proteins. In most bacteria, the SRP consists of a 4.5S RNA and the Ffh protein (a homologue of the eukaryotic SRP54 protein). The record is from Rfam by way of RNAcentral. Lineage: Bacteria; Pseudomonadati; Pseudomonadota; Betaproteobacteria; Burkholderiales.